RNAcentral lists this ribosomal RNA (258 nucleotides) under uncultured bacterium. RNAcentral's name for it is "partial 16S ribosomal RNA". It matches the Rfam family "Bacterial small subunit ribosomal RNA", at positions 526 to 779 of the family's 1533-position model. The record is from RNAcentral.
CGUAGGGUGCGAGCGUUAAUCGGAAUUACUGGGCGUAAAGCGUGCGCAGGCGGUUUUGUAAGAGAGGCGUGAAAUCCCCGAGCUCAACUUGGGAAGUGGCGCUUGUGACUGCAAGGCUAGAGUAUGUCAGAGGGGGGUAGGAAUUCCACGUGUAGCAGUGAAAUAGCGUAGAGAUGUGGAGGAAUACCGAUGGCGAAGGCAGCCCCGUCGGGACGUCACUGACGCUCAUGCACGAAAGCGUGGGGAGCAAACAGGAUU